CUUCCUUGCGCUCGAGUGUCUGGU
RNAcentral lists this non-coding RNA (24 nucleotides) under Arabidopsis thaliana (thale cress). Lineage: Eukaryota; Viridiplantae; Streptophyta; Magnoliopsida; Brassicales; Brassicaceae. The record is from RNAcentral.